CGCGAAUGGCUCAUUACAACAGCUAUAAUUUACUUGAUCUUGACAAUCCUACUUGGAUAACUGUGGUAAUUCUAGAGCUAAUACAUGCACCAAAGCUCUGACCUUACGGGAAGAGUGCAUUUAUUAGAACAAAACCAAGCGGCUUCGGUCGUUUUUUGUUGACUCAGAAUAACUAAGCUGAUCGCAUGGUCUUGUACCGGCGACGUGUCUUUCAAGUAUCUGCCUUAUCAACUUUCGAUGGUAGUGUAUCUGACUACCAUGGUUGUGACGGGUAACGGAGGAUAAGGGUUCGACUCCGGAGAAGGGGCCUGAGAAAUGGCCACUACGUCUAAGGAUGGCAGCAGGCGCACAAAUCACCCACUCUCAGAACGAGGAGGUAGUGACGAGAAAUAACGAGACCGUUCUCUACGAGGCCGGUCAUCGGAAUGGGUACAAUCUAAACCCUUUAACGAGUAUCUAUGAGAGGGCAAGUCUGGUGCCAGCAGCCGCGGUAAUUCCAGCU
This 502-nucleotide ribosomal RNA is filed under the name Aglenchus agricola. Its description in RNAcentral is "SSU rRNA". It matches the Rfam family "Eukaryotic small subunit ribosomal RNA", at positions 88 to 590 of the family's 1831-position model. Lineage: Eukaryota; Metazoa; Nematoda; Chromadorea; Rhabditida; Tylenchidae. The record is from RNAcentral.